UGGCCAGACUCCUACGGGAGGCAGCAGUGGGGAAUAUUGCACAAUGGGGGGAACCCUGAUGCAGCGACGCCGCGUGGGUGAAGGAGUACUUCGGUACGUAAAGCCCUAUCAGCAGGAAAGAAAAUGACGGUACCUGACUAAGAAGCCCCGGCUAACUACGUGCCAGCAGCCGCGGUAAUACGUAGGGGGCAAGCGUUAUCCGGAUUUACUGGGUGUAAAGGGAGCGUAGACGGCCGUGCAAGCCAGGGGUGAAAGCCCGGGGCCCAACCCCGGGACUGCCCUUGGAACUGCAUGGCUGGAGUGCGGGAGGGGCAGGCGGAAUUCCUGGUGUAGCGGUGAAAUGCGUAGAUAUCAGGAGGGACUCCGGCGGCGAAGGCGGCCUACUGGACGGUGACUGACGCUGAGGCUCGAAAGCGUGGGGAGCAAACAGGAUUAGAUACCCGGGUAA
RNAcentral lists this ribosomal RNA (448 nucleotides) under uncultured bacterium. RNAcentral describes it as "bacterial SSU rRNA". It matches the Rfam family "Bacterial small subunit ribosomal RNA", at positions 328 to 793 of the family's 1533-position model. The record is from RNAcentral.